CGGUGAAUACGUUCCCGGGCCUUGUACACACCGCCCGUCAAACAAUGGAAGCUGGGGGUACCUGAAGUCUGUAACCGAUAAGGAGCGGCCUAGGGUAAAACUAGUAACUGGUGUU
Molecule: ribosomal RNA, 115 nt
Filed under: uncultured bacterium
Lineage: Bacteria
Description: partial 16S ribosomal RNA
Rfam family: Bacterial small subunit ribosomal RNA
Source: RNAcentral